Pelobates cultripes (western spadefoot toad) is the source of this 233-nucleotide non-coding RNA. Lineage: Eukaryota; Metazoa; Chordata; Amphibia; Anura; Pelobatidae. The record is from the annotation of a GenBank genome assembly.
UUCCUGUCUUGGAAUUUCUACCACUUUCUGUUCCAGAAGAGUAGAAAUGCAGGCCCUCAUGGCCCUUCGUUUGAUACCUGCCGACACCCUGGAUUUCUUGAAGAAAGCGGAUUUUGGGCGAAAGGAAAAUUCUAUCCUGUAACCCUCCUUUAUGAUGGAUGUGACCCACACGUCCGUAAUAUUUGCGGCCCACACGGGGUAGAAGAACUUCAGUCUUCCCCCCACAGUCCCAG